GAUGAACGCUGGCGGCGUGCUUAACACAUGCAAGUCGAACGGAAAGGCCCAAGCUUGCUUGGGUACUCGAGUGGCGAACGGGUGAGUAACACGUGGGUGAUCUGCCCUGCACUUCGGGAUAAGCCUGGGAAACUGGGUCUAAUACCGGAUAGGACCACUUCUUGGAUGUUGUGGUGGAAAGUUUUUUCGGUGUGGGAUGAGCUCGCGGCCUAUCAGCUUGUUGGUGGGGUAAUGGCCUACCAAGGCGUUGACGGGUAGCCGGCCUGAGAGGGUGUACGGCCACAUUGGGACUGAGAGACGGCCCAGACUCCUACGGGAGGCAGCAGUGGGGAAUAUUGCACAAGGGGCGCAAGCCUAAUGCAGCGACGCCGCGUGGGGGAUGACGGCCUUCGGGUUGUAAACUACAUUCGCUAGGGACGAAGCGUUUUGUGACGGUACCUGGAGAAGAAGCACCGGCUAACUACGUG
RNAcentral lists this ribosomal RNA (467 nucleotides) under uncultured bacterium. RNAcentral describes it as "partial 16S ribosomal RNA". It matches the Rfam family "Bacterial small subunit ribosomal RNA", at positions 28 to 507 of the family's 1533-position model. The record is from RNAcentral.